RNAcentral lists this ribosomal RNA (292 nucleotides) under uncultured bacterium. RNAcentral's name for it is "partial 16S ribosomal RNA". It matches the Rfam family "Bacterial small subunit ribosomal RNA", at positions 505 to 796 of the family's 1533-position model. The record is from RNAcentral.
GUGUCAGCAGCCGCGGUAAUACGUAGGGUGCAAGCGUUGUCCGGAAUUAUUGGGCGUAAAGAGCUCGUAGGCGGCCUGUCACGUCGGCUGUGAAAACCCGAGGCUCAACCUCGGGCCUGCAGUCGAUACGGGCAGGCUAGAGUCCGGUAGGGGAGACUGGAAUUCCUGGUGUAGCGGUGAAAUGCGCAGAUAUCAGGAGGAACACCGGUGGCGAAGGCGGGUCUCUGGGCCGGAACUGACGCUGAGGAGCGAAAGCGUGGGGAGCGAACAGGAUUAGAAACCCUGGUAGUCC